UAACUUUAGCAGUACGUAGACUAAAAUUGGAGCAGUGUUAAGAUGAGCAUGGGCUCCACACAAGGAUGACACCCAAAUACAUGAAGCAUUCUGUUUUGAU
This 100-nucleotide small nuclear RNA is filed under the name Octodon degus (degu). Lineage: Eukaryota; Metazoa; Chordata; Mammalia; Rodentia; Octodontidae. The record is from RNAcentral.